CUUAUAUUUUUGAUAGUUAUUUUAUAUAUUUAAAUGCCAUUUAACAAAGAAAAAUCAACCAAAAAAAUAAGUUUGCGUGUCACCUCUGACACGCGUGUCAUAGGUUUGCCAUCACUGCCCUAGAUGUUUGCUAUGUUAGAAACCUGAUCAGGCAGUAUCUUUUAAAAUAUGUGAAUAGGUCCCUUUUAGAGAAAUAUUAGGAAAUUAUUUUAUUUUUUUUCCUGCUCCCUCUUUGCUGAGCCCUGGGGAUAUGACUGGAAUAAGAACUGGUUCUUGCCUGGCUGUGGUGGCUCAAUGGUUGAGCCUAUGAACCAGGAGUCCAUGGUUCGAUUCAGUUCGAUUCCCGGUCAGGGCACAUGCCUGGGCCUCGUUUGUGGGCUUGAACCCCACUGGGAGGUGCGGGGGUGCCGGAGGCAGUCAGUCAAUGAUUCUCUGUCGUCAUUGAUGUUUCUUUCUCUCUCUCUCCCUCUCCUUUCCUCUCUGAAAAAAAUAAAAUUAAAAUAAAUAAAAGAACUGGUUCUUGUUUGCUAUGGUCCUGUGGGACUCGUGAAUGGAAGCUCAUUGGUUACCAGAGCCAGAUCUGGGGACAUGUCCCUUGGGUGGCAGCACAAAAGCUGUUGUACAGAUGUGUGUAUUAGCUCCUUCCAGGGAGAUACUGGUGACUUGGACAGGCCUCAGGAGAGAAGGUAGAAAGGUGUCUGCCAGCUUCCUUAGUCUCCAGGAAGACUUGCAGUUGGCUCCUAGUCGUGUUAAAUUAGAAUUCUGACCUUAGGCAGUAUCCUUUAAACUGCAAAACUGGGAGAUGGACAUUUUUUGCCUGCUCCCUCUGCACUGGGGAGAUACCUGCAGGGAAUGUUUCUGCCCGUUAACAACUGCUUUUUUUGUUUGCUGUAGUCUUGUGAGUCUCAUGGACAGCAAAACUGUUGGCUUUCAGAGCUAGGACUGCUCAUGCUCUCACACCCUUGGUGUCUGUGUCCAUUGGUUAUGCUUAUAGGCAUACAUACAAGCCCUUUGGUCGAUCUCUCCCCUGUUAUCCCCACCCUUCCUACCUUCCCUCUGAGGUUUGAGCAUCUGGUUGAUGCUUCUCUGUCUCUGGAUGUUUUUGUUCAUCAGUUUAUGUUGUUCAUUAUAUUCCACAAAUGAGUGAGAUCUUUUUUAUCAGUUUCAUUUUGAAGUUUAUAUUGCUGUUUCUUCAAGUUCACUAAUCUUUUCUUUACCAUGCCUAAUCUUGGGGUGACUUUAGGGGGGCUAUGUUACUUUAGUCAACCUGGUAGGGACUACUAAGAUUCAAUUAUUUAUAUUUAUUAAUGUUAGUGUGACUGUCUUUGUAGGGAUAGAAUGAUAAAAGUAGAAAAAUAUGGGUUAUAUAUCUUUGGAGAAAUGUUUUUUUAAAAUAUGUUUUUAUUGGUUACAGAGAGAGGACCAGAGAAGGAGGAGGUAUAGAAACAUCAAUGAGAGAGAAUCAUUGAUCAGCUGACUCCUGCACACCCCCUACUGGGGACCAAGCCUGUAACCCAGGCUUGUGCCCUGACAGGGAAUGGAAUCGUGACCUCCUGGUUCAUAGGUCUGCACUCAACCACUGAGCCACACCAGAUGGACACCUUAGGAAGACCUAUUACAACCACUUUGGCAAGAAUUCCCAGCUUUUUCUAUUGUAGAAAAGGCAAAUUGAAAUCAUGGAGUGAAAUACAAGUCUCUUCUGCUUUCAUAUGGCAGGGGAGAUGAACAUAAGUCAACCUUGCUUUUAUGUCCCAUGCUGGAAGAUAUGUACUAUAUACUGUACUGUCCCAUUACAGUAUAUAAAUGUACCGGAAUUGCCUGCCUGAAUAAGGGCAAUACCUGUAUCUAAAAUUGAAUAAAAAGCUGGCAGGGCCUGGGCACCAGUGAAGCCUUUCCUCUUGAGAAAGACUCUCCGCCUGGCCCCCUGUAAUUUCCAAAUUCAUAUUUCUUGUCUAGUCUCUUCAUUUGUGCACGGCCCUUCUCCAGGUCCCGAACCCAAGCCAUGCAGGACGCAGCUUUCACAGUCCCAGAUUACUACCCCCUGAGAUAAUGAAGAUGUAGUCAUGUCCUCAGGAAUCCACAACCCAGAGGGAGGUCAGGACAAACAGGCAGCUCCAGGCCCAGAUCAGCUACAAAACCAGCCCAGGCUGAAGCUGGGACCAGCCGCAUGGAAUGACCCCCUAUCCUGGUGCCGCCAAUCGAUCAGUGGAGUGCACAACCCUGAGAGGACACACCGGGAAGCCGCUGACUCUCCUAUUGAGAUCUUCUCCCGGGUCCGCCCCUCAACCCUCCACCCUUCAAACCCUCGGGACAGGGCCCGGCUGCUCUCCCUGCAGGAGCAGCAGAGCCUUUCCCUUCCCUUCAGCUUCCUCACGCCCACGCUGCCAGGGCCCUUCCUUUCCCUCCAUAACUUGUUUCCUAAGCCCAUUUCUCCCAGGAAUUGCUUCCCUUACUUCUGUGAUUUGCCAAAUACAUGUUCUUACAGUUU
Long non-coding RNA from Myotis lucifugus (little brown bat), 2488 nucleotides. RefSeq lists it as uncharacterized. The transcript has 4 exons. The record is from RefSeq and is a predicted model, not a curated record. NCBI's taxonomy places the organism in Eukaryota, Metazoa, Chordata, Mammalia, Chiroptera, Vespertilionidae.